CACAUGCUAUAUAAAUUUUUACAAAUAACUUACUUAUUAUUCAGUGAUCCGCCUUUUUAGUUUAUAUAUGACAUGGCAAUUACAGCAGGCUGAACAUUAAUUAUUAAAUAAGUACGUUCUGUUUUUGCUUAUGGUACUAUAGGAUACAUAAACGAACUGUCAAAAAGCACGUGCAUCCAUGGAUACCGAGGAUUACGAAUUGGAACAAAUACGUCAAGAUAUUGUAAAAAACCAUCUUGAACUUACAGCUCUGAUUCAAGAUAUACAACAAUGUAUUGGUCCAUUGGAGCUGCUCAUGGAUUUAAAUAAAGAAGGCAGAGCGAAAUUAGAAUCUUUACAUUCCUCCAUAUCCAAGUUAGAAUCAUUGGCAGAUACAGAACUCGUGGAGAAAAAGAAAACAGACUUGCAGGCAGAAAUAAAUACCUACAAGCAACAGUCUAAAAAUUCCUUAACUGCAUUUCGUAAGGCUAAUAUUGUUAGCAUGUGUGUGAUAGAUAAACUUUCCAAAGAAGAGCUAUUAUCAAUGCCUGAAGAAUAUCAAGCAGCUGUACGCAAAAGACACGAUAGAAGAAGUUUGGCAAACGCAUCCAGUCAGCUCUCUGACAAACUGCUAAGUAUAUCUAGACAUUUGGCUGAGACAACACAAAGAAGUGCAGACACAUUGGACACAUUAAUAAUCUCAUCGGACAAGGUGUCUAGUACCACAAAUGAGUUGGAACGCCAACAGCAAGUGAUAGUUCAAUCAGGAAAGCUUUUAGGGAAAUAUGGUAGAAGGGAAGUCACAGACAAAGUUUUAUUAGCUCUGGCAUUUGCAUUUUUCCUCGCAUGUGUCCUUUACAUUCUACAGAAGAGGUUGUUCUGAAAGUACAAAACUGUUUUACACAAAACUGUCUACAUACAUCUUUCUGAUAGGAGAGAUAUUUUCUGAAGUGUGAUCGAACAAGAAACUAGUAUAAAGUCGGGGGACGCCACGGUCGCAUUUUUUUCAAGGAACGAUACACUUUAGGAAGCUUGGUAUUAAAACAUUUCAUCACCAAAACUGAUUAAAUAUUGUCAGCUGAUUCUGGAUCAUGGAAUCCUGAAAUAAAAGAGAAAUAUCAACGUUUAUUUAUUACAUACUUUCUAAUAAUUAUAACGAAACGUGUUCUGACUUCUCGAUCAGCCAAGCCAGAUACCACAC
This is an RNA transcript of Nomia melanderi (Alkali bee), 1180 nucleotides long. It is a transcript of the gene named vesicle transport protein Sec20, with no coding region annotated. Lineage: Eukaryota; Metazoa; Arthropoda; Insecta; Hymenoptera; Halictidae. The record is from RefSeq and is a predicted model, not a curated record.